RNAcentral lists this ribosomal RNA (803 nucleotides) under uncultured bacterium. RNAcentral describes it as "bacterial SSU rRNA". It matches the Rfam family "Bacterial small subunit ribosomal RNA", at positions 8 to 794 of the family's 1533-position model. The record is from RNAcentral.
AGAGUUUGAUCCUGGCUCAGGACGAACGCUGGCGGCGUGCCUAAUACAUGCAAGUAGAACGCUGAAGAGAGGAGCUUGCUCUUCUUGGAUGAGUUGCGAACGGGUGAGUAACGCGUAGGUAACCUGCCUUGUAGCGGGGGAUAACUAUUGGAAACGAUAGCUAAUACCGCAUAACAAUGGAUGACACAUGUCAUUUAUUUGAAAGGGGCAAUUGCUCCACUACAAGAUGGACCUGCGUUGUAUUAGCUAGUAGGUGAGGUAAUGGCUCACCUAGGCGACGAUACAUAGCCGACCUGAGAGGGUGAUCGGCCACACUGGGACUGAGACACGGCCCAGACUCCUACGGGAGGCAGCAGUAGGGAAUCUUCGGCAAUGGGGGCAACCCUGACCGAGCAACGCCGCGUGAGUGAAGAAGGUUUUCGGAUCGUAAAGCUCUGUUGUAAGUCAAGAACGGGUGUGAGAGUGGAAAGUUCACACUGUGACGGUAGCUUACCAGAAAGGGACGGCUAACUACGUGCCAGCAGCCGCGGUAAUACGUAGGUCCCGAGCGUUGUCCGGAUUUAUUGGGCGUAAAGCGAGCGCAGGCGGUUUGAUAAGUCUGAAGUUAAAGGCUGUGGCUCAACCAUAGUUCGCUUUGGAAACUGUCAAACUUGAGUGCAGAAGGGGAGAGUGGAAUUCCAUGUGUAGCGGUGAAAUGCGUAGAUAUAUGGAGGAACACCGGUGGCGAAAGCGGCUCUCUGGUCUGUAACUGACGCUGAGGCUCGAAAGCGUGGGGAGCGAACAGGAUUAGAUACCCUGGUAGU